GAUGAACGCUAGCGGGAGGCCUAACACAUGCAAGCCGAGCGGUAUGGGUAGCUUGCUACCCAGAGAGCGGCGUACGGGUGCGUAACACGUGUGCAACCUGCCCCUAUCCGGGGGAUAGCCCUCCGAAAGGAGGAUUAAUACCCCAUAAUAUAUCUGGUGGCAUCACUAGAUAUUGAAAACCCCGGUGGAUAGGGAUGGGCACGCGCAAGAUUAGAUAGUUGGCGGGGUAACGGCCCACCAAGUCGAUGAUCUUUAGGGGUCCUGAGAGGGAGAUCCCCCACACUGGUACUGAGACACGGACCAGACUCCUACGGGAGGCAGCAGUGAGGAAUAUUGGACAAUGGGUGGAAGCCUGAUCCAGCCAUCCCGCGUGAGGGACGACGGCCCUAUGGGCGGUAAACCUCUUUUGUACGGGGAUAAACCUAUCUACGUGUAGAUAGCUGAAGGUACCGUACGAAUAAGCACCGGCUAACUCCGUG
RNAcentral lists this ribosomal RNA (479 nucleotides) under uncultured bacterium. Its description in RNAcentral is "partial 16S ribosomal RNA". It matches the Rfam family "Bacterial small subunit ribosomal RNA", at positions 28 to 507 of the family's 1533-position model. The record is from RNAcentral.